UCGAGGAUCUUCGGCAAUGGGCGCAAGCCUGACCGAGCGACGCCGCGUGUGCGAAGAAGGCCUUCGGGUUGUAAAGCACUGUCGAGGGGGAGAAAGCCCGCAAGGGUUGAUCGACCCCUGGAGGAAGCACGGGCUAAGUUCGUGCCAGCAGCCGCGGUAAGACGAACCGUGCGAACGUUAUUCGGAUUCACUGGGCUUAAAGGGCGCGUAGGCGGGUCCUCGAGUCGGUGGUGAAAUCGUUCGGCUCAACCGGACAAUCGCCUUCGAUACUGGGGAUCUCGAGGGGGGUAGGGGCAUGCGGAACUUCCGGUGGAGCGGUGAAAUGCGUAGAUAUCGGAAGGAACGCCGGUGGCGAAAGCGGCGUGCUGGACCCUUUCUGACGCUGAGGCGCGAAAGCCAGGGGAGCAAACGGGAUUAGAUACCCCCGUAGUCC
Molecule: ribosomal RNA, 433 nt
Filed under: uncultured bacterium
Lineage: Bacteria
Description: bacterial SSU rRNA
Rfam family: Bacterial small subunit ribosomal RNA
Source: RNAcentral